GAAAGACAAGGCUUACCAUGGCUGCAUGCAGCCCGAAUUUGCUGCCUGGACCUGCGUCUGUGAUCUGUAACACCAAAGAGCCACAGGCACUCUAUAUUAAGAAUGCAAAUGCAACCUUGUAAUGAAAACACAUGUGCUAUGUAAGGUGAAUAGUGUUGUUCACCGU
Molecule: long non-coding RNA, 166 nt
Organism: Gopherus evgoodei (Goodes thornscrub tortoise)
Lineage: Eukaryota; Metazoa; Chordata; Testudines; Testudinidae
Exons: 3
Source: RefSeq, a predicted model, not a curated record